Molecule: long non-coding RNA, 460 nt
Filed under: Ananas comosus (pineapple)
Lineage: Eukaryota; Viridiplantae; Streptophyta; Magnoliopsida; Poales; Bromeliaceae
Description: long non-coding RNA (ACOM_LNC037431)
Source: RNAcentral
ACUGUUAUUUAUUCUUAUAUACUUUUAUUCCAAUUUUGGUAAAUAAUAUUGAAUAGUUUAUUCAAAAUAUUUUAGAAAUUACAUAAAUUUUUUGCCGAAAUAGAUUGUUUGAAGAGAGAAGCCAUGAGAAACUUCAGUAGAGACACUUGUGGGUGAUCAUAUGAAUAGAUAGAUGUUCAUGAAAAUAUUCAUAUUUAUAGAGGUGGAAUCGAUUAAUAAAUAUGAAUAGGAAAAUGAAAAGUGAAAGGGCAUGCAUGCAUAUAUAGGAAAAUGAAAAGUGAAAGGGCAUGCAUGCAUAUAUACGUUUUAAGAAAUGUAAGGUCUCUUAGAUUGAGGUGUAAUAAUAAUUAAUCAAUUAAUGGUAGUGGGAGAAACAAAAUUAAGGGAUUUGUAACAUCUUAAUUAAUUAUUAAGGAAUGUGGAGGGUUUUUAAUUAGCUAGUGGGAAAAUUUGGGUCAUA